RNAcentral lists this ribosomal RNA (406 nucleotides) under uncultured bacterium. RNAcentral's name for it is "partial 16S ribosomal RNA". It matches the Rfam family "Bacterial small subunit ribosomal RNA", at positions 28 to 526 of the family's 1533-position model. The record is from RNAcentral.
GAUGAACGCUGACAGAAUGCUUAACACAUCAGCAAUGGAUUGGUGGCGGACGGGUGAGUAACGCGUAAAGAACUUACCUCACAGUUAGGGACAACAUUUGGAAACGACUGCUAAUACCUAAUACUGUGAGAGGGCUUUGCGUCCCAUUAGCUAGUUGGUGAGGUAACGGCUCACCAAGGCGAUGAUGGGUAGCCGGCCUGAGAGGGUGAUCGGCCACAAUGGGACAGGGAAGCCGGCCUUGCUGCUACGGGAGGAAGGAGCGGGGAAUAUUGGAAAAUGGACCAAAGUAUGAUGCAGCAAUUCGGUGUGCACGGUACAUUUGUCGGAAGGAAGAGUGCGUUGAGUAGAGAAGCGGUACCAACAGAAGAAGCGACGGCUAAAUACGUGCCAGCAGCCGCGGUAAUAC